Glossina fuscipes is the source of this 344-nucleotide long non-coding RNA. RefSeq lists it as uncharacterized. NCBI's taxonomy places the organism in Eukaryota, Metazoa, Arthropoda, Insecta, Diptera, Glossinidae. The transcript has 2 exons. The record is from RefSeq and is a predicted model, not a curated record.
AUUCAUCACAGUUACGGAAUUUCGCAGAUAAAUGUGUAUAAAAACAUAAUCGAGCUUUUGCAAGUACAACCUAGAAAACCAUCCACAGUUGGAAAAUAUCAUUCAGUACAUGACGAUAGAGUCAAUAAUAUAUAUAUAUAUGCAUAUAUAUAUGUAUAUAUAUUCGGGACUAUUUUUGUCUAGUGGACAAAAUCUCUAAACGAAAGGAAAAACUCGCAAUAACUCUCACGCAUGUAAAUAGUGCGACUUUGAUUUCAUUGACAAAAUUCUACUCCAAUCUCUGAAAAUUGCAACAACGGGACAAAGUAUAGAAAAAAAAAGAAAGCAAAAAGAAAAGAAAAAAA